This 403-nucleotide ribosomal RNA is filed under the name Actinomycetes bacterium. RNAcentral's name for it is "Actinobacteria bacterium partial 16S ribosomal RNA". It matches the Rfam family "Bacterial small subunit ribosomal RNA", at positions 355 to 776 of the family's 1533-position model. Lineage: Bacteria; Bacillati; Actinomycetota; Actinomycetes. The record is from RNAcentral.
UGGGGAAUAUUGCACAAUGGGGGAAACCCUGAUGCAGCGACGCCGCGUGAACGAAGAAGGAAUUCGUAUCGUAAAGUUCUGUCCUAUGGGAAGAUAAUGACAGUACCAUAGAAGAAAGCUCCGGCUAAAUACGUGCAAGCAGCCGCGGUAAUACGUAUGGAGCGAGCGUUGUCCGGAAUUAUUGGGCGUAAAGGGUACGCAGGCGGUUUAAUAAGUCGAAUGUUAAAGAUCGGGGCUCAACCCCGUAAAGCAUUGGAAACUGAUAAACUUGAGUAGUGGAGAGGAAAGUGGAAUUCCUAGUGUAGUGGUGAAAUACGUAGAUAUUAGGAGGAAUACCAGUAGCGAAGGCGACUUUCUGGACACAAACUGACGCUGAGGUACGAAAGCGUGGGGAGCAAACAGG